AGCCUGUAGUAGUGCCUCGCAACCUUUGUCGCCCACGGUCAACGCCUGAAAUCAAGGAAUAUCGUUGCGUCACUGGGUACAGUAGUUGGUAUACGGUCGGACGGCGGAUGGCGGACCACGGAGAGAGCCACAACUAUUUAAUUUUUGGACACGUCUUUGAAACUUCAAAGAGCGGAAAAUUAUGAAGCUGUUAAACAUUUUGAGUGUAACGAUCGAUCGACACCGGGCGAUUUCGUAAAGAACGCAGUGUAUACCCUUAUUAAACUAAUGGGACUCGAGUUUCGAAACCGUGUCACGUUUCGACACCACGAGACGAACGGGCGGAUGUACAAAGUUUCAAAAGUAACCAAGAUUUCGUGUACCUGCUCCUUUAUCGACCUAUUUUGUAAAGACACAUUGUUUGUCAUUAUCUUUGAUCCGUCGCGUCGCGUCGUAGUAGCAGAGCACAUGUUAUCACGUUGAAUCAGAUAAAGUCAAUUUCAUUCAA
Long non-coding RNA from Osmia bicornis bicornis, 487 nucleotides. RefSeq lists it as uncharacterized. The record is from RefSeq and is a predicted model, not a curated record. Lineage: Eukaryota; Metazoa; Arthropoda; Insecta; Hymenoptera; Megachilidae. The transcript has 2 exons.